CCUCCCUUCCCAGGUCUUCUCACUGGAAGAGGCUAUGGAGACAGCAGAUAGGAACCACCUCUUUCUAUUCUUCACCUUUCUGGCAGUGACAGCAAUAACAGCAACAAACGUAACACCAAUGCCAGCACAAAAAAAAUUAGCUCAGCAAUUCAAUCAGUUGAGCAUCAAAACUGCACCAACUUUUUUUAUUUUCCUGAAGUCAGAACAUGAGCCUUGUUUGGGGACCCUGAUCCACCAUCAAUGGGCUCUCACUGCAGCCCACUGCUUCUUGCCGUGAGUGAUGGGGGUCCUGGAGGGAAAGGACUUCCCCCUUAGUCACUGGGAUUGCUCAGGGGGUACCGAGGCUCAGCCUUUAAGAGACAGGGACAGGGGAUUCUCAAACCUGAGAAGUGGUUGGAAGGAGGCAGGAAGUAGAUCUAUGUGGUUAUAAGUUAGAUUCUUGAAUGGGAUGAUGUAGACAGGGGGAACUGGGGAAGCCAAGGACCAAGGGAUGAACCAAUAGGGAAUACAAGCCCACAUAUAGUAUGAUACAAAUCAAAGAAUUAUGGAACUGCAAUGGAAAUUGCUCAUUUUCCAGAUAAGAAGAUAGGGGUUUUGGCAAGUGAUAGAACUCAUGCCAAGUCACAAAGCAAGUUAGGGGGAGAUAGGAUGCAAGAUGAGUAAUAAAAUAAUGUCUCCUUUCUCUACCAAUUUUUCAUGGCCUGUUCCAGAUUUCUUGAGAUAGAUAUUGCUGCUGCAAGUGAUGAGGGUUUCUUAAAAACUGGGGGGAACUUAAGAGCCAUGCUUACUGUCCAACACCCAAAUUUCACCCGGGAUUCUUCUGAGCAUGACCUCAUGCUUGUCAAGUUGACAAAGCCCCUAAAGCCCAAUGAUGAGGUGAAGCUGGUCGAUCUGCCCAGUACCAUGGAGGACAGAAGAGAGGACACGUGCACUGUUUCUGGCUGGGGGUGGGCCUGGAAGAAUUUCGAGACAGAUCCUGAUACCGAGGCAAACCAGACUGUCUUUUGGUUCUCUAAUGAAAACUGCCAAGAGUCUCCAAUAAGGAAAUUUCCUGUCAAAAUCACAGAGAACAUGUUCUGUGCGGGGUCAUCUCUGGAGAGCACGCACUCCUGUAAGGAAAUAGAUGCUGCCCCAAUCCUGUGCCAAAACCAGCUCCAAGGGAUCCUCUCCUGGGCAGAGGGGUGCAUUCUGAGAGGUGAUAUUGGCUACUACACCAAGGUUUCCCACUACACAGAGUGGAUUCUCAGGGUCAUCCGUACCAACUGAGCUCUCUGUAGUCCCUCUCCCUCUAACCUCAGAACAAGAUGGGAACUUGGCUGCAAGAAGUUUUCUGUUCCUUCAGUUCUCUUGACUUCUCUUGUCCUUUCUCAGUCCCAGCUUGAAUGAUUAUCAAAGAACUUGAGCUGGAUACUAUUCUCAUAAACGGGAUAACUUCUCACUACUUCCUUCCUCUCCUCCAACUUCCUACUUACCUGCCGUGGUUUCCCCAGACUUUUCUGGAGCUGUUCUCCACCCACCGCCCUCCAGACGACAUGUAGGCCCCAGGAAUGUGACAGUGAGAUUGUGGGCACCUCGGUGGUGCCUCCUUUUGUCUGACAUUAUUAGUGUUAGUCCAGGGUCUGUGCCUCUCACCCCAUCGUAUCUAGUAAGGCUGCAGUAAAUGCAGGAUGUUAAAUAGGCUGUUAGCAACAUAAUUAUUAAAAAUAAAGGCUAUCAUUUUAUGAAAACAACAAGUAUAAGGGUUUCAAAAAGGUUAAGAGUUGAGGGAAUGGGGAGAGGAGUUAAAUGGGUCAGACCACCAACAGGAAAGGAGGGAUGAUCUGAGAGAUCUUUCUAAAUGCUAAGCACAGAAAAAUCUAAGAUGGCUGGAAUGAGAUUACUAGAAAAACAGGGAAAUACUGAAACUUACAUGACUAUAAUUGUGUCCCUGUGUAAGUGUGCAAAUAUACAUUUGUGUGUAUAGAUUGGAAGGGGUUGUGCACAGAAUGAGCCAUUGUUUUAAGUAUGUUUUUUUUUCUUAAAAAAAAAUUUUUUUAUUGAUUUCAGAGAGGAAGGGAGAGGGAGAGAGAGAUAGAGAAACAUCACUGAUGAAAGAGAAUCAUUGAUCAGCUGCCUCCUGCACGCCUCCUAAUGGGGAUCGAGCCCACAACCUGGGCAUGUGCCUUUGACUGGACCAUUCAGUCUGCAGGCUGACACUCUAUCCACUGAGUCAAAUCGGGUAGGGCUGUUUUGUUUUUUUAAAAUAUAUUUUUAUUGAUUUCAGAGAGGAAGGGAGCGGGAGAGAGAUAGAAACAUCAAUGAUGAGAAUCAGUGGUCGGCUGCUUCCUGCUCGCCCCACACUGGGAAUAAUCGAGACCACAAUACGGUCAUGUGCCCUUGACCAGAAUCGAACCUGGGACCUUUAGGUCUGCAGGCUGAUUCUCUAUCUACUGAGCCAAACCGGCUAGUUUUUUAUUUUCUAUAUUUCUUUUAUAUCUGGGGUGACCUUGCUGGCCAGGGAAAGACUUUUCCUCUCAAAGCUAACAAAUUCCUAGAAAUAGCAAAUGACUACCCCCAUCACAUGCUUUCCAUAUACAAACAAACCAACUCAGAGCCCACACUCCCAACCAUCUCUUUUAUCCAUCUUUCACAAACCAGGCCAAUAUUUCCCUGCCCUAAAUGACCCCAGGGUCAGGAAUUAGACAACUAAAGACCACCACCCUAGCCCAGCACCCACUGAAAUGAUUCAGAUUACACAAUCCUGAACUUGCUCACACUGGCCUGCCCUGCCUGCCCAUGGCCUCUUUCAGAAACCACAGGAAAGGCUUGUGCCUGUGGCUUCCCUUCCCUCCUGCUGCUUCCUGCCUGGGCCGGCAGGCUCUUCCUCACAUAUCCCUGCUUGGCCUGGCUUGCCCCUUAGUGAACUCUCUUCAUGGUGUUGGCCUCUCAGUGUUCUCACUCAGUUAUCUCUACAAUUAAAAUCCUGGGUACAAUCAAAACACGCAUCUAAGAUUGUCAAACUACAGCAGGAACGCUGGGGAGGGUGGCGGGGGGGCGGGGGAGGCGUAAGAAAUCAACCAAAAGACUUGUAUGCAUGCAUAUAAGCAUAACCAAUGGACCCAAGACACUGGGGGACGGGGGAUGUGAGGGCAUGUGCCGGGGAGGUAGGGGAAGCCAGGGGAAGGUCAAUGGGGAAAAAAAGGAGACAUAUGUACUACUAUUUGUAAUACUUUAAACAAUAAAAUGAAAUAAAUA
This is a long non-coding RNA of Myotis daubentonii (Daubenton's bat), 3234 nucleotides long. RefSeq lists it as uncharacterized. NCBI's taxonomy places the organism in Eukaryota, Metazoa, Chordata, Mammalia, Chiroptera, Vespertilionidae. The record is from RefSeq and is a predicted model, not a curated record.